Podarcis lilfordi (Lilford's wall lizard) is the source of this 72-nucleotide non-coding RNA. The record is from the annotation of a GenBank genome assembly. NCBI's taxonomy places the organism in Eukaryota, Metazoa, Chordata, Lepidosauria, Squamata, Lacertidae.
UCUAUCUAUCCAUCUAUCUAUCUAUCUAUCUAUCUAUGGAGAUAGAUGAUAGAUAGAUAGAUGAUAGAUAGA